CCUACGGGGCGCAGCAGUGAGGAAUAUUGGUCAAUGGCCGGAAGGCUGAACCAGCCAUGCCGCGUGAAGGUCAGUGCCCUAUGGGCGUUAAACUUCUUUUGUGCGGGAGCAAUAAUGGUCACGUGUGGCCAGACGAGAGUACCGUACGAAUAAGCAUCGGCUAACUCCGUGCCAGCAGCCGCGGUAAUACGGGGGAUGCAAGCGUUAUCCGGAUUUAUUGGGUUUAAAGGGUGCGUAGGCGGCCUUUUAAGUCAGCGGUGAAAGUCUGUGGCUCAACCAUAGAAUUGCCGUUGAAACUGGGGGGCUUGAGUAUGUGUGAGGCAGGCGGAAUGCGUGGUGUAGCGGUGAAAUGCUUAGAUAUCACGCAGAACCCCGAUUGCGAAGGCAGCUUACUAAACUGCCACUGACAUUGAUGCUCGAAAGUGUGGGUAUCAAACAGGAUUAGAUACCCGAGUAGUC
Molecule: ribosomal RNA, 459 nt
Filed under: uncultured bacterium
Lineage: Bacteria
Description: partial 16S ribosomal RNA
Rfam family: Bacterial small subunit ribosomal RNA
Source: RNAcentral